UACAUAGGGCUCAAGCGUUGUUCGGAUUCAUUGGGCGUAAAGGGUGCGUAGGCGGCGCGGUAAGUCGGGUGUGAAAUCUCGGGGCUUAACUCCGAAACUGCAUUCGAUACUGCCGUGCUUGAGGACUGGAGAGGAGACUGGAAUUUACGGUGUAGCGGUGAAAUGCGUAGAUAUCGUAAGGAAGACCAGUGGCGAAGGCGGGUCUCUGGACAGUUCCUGACGCUGAGGCACGAAGGCCAGGGGAGCAAACGGG
RNAcentral lists this ribosomal RNA (253 nucleotides) under uncultured bacterium. RNAcentral describes it as "partial 16S ribosomal RNA". It matches the Rfam family "Bacterial small subunit ribosomal RNA", at positions 524 to 776 of the family's 1533-position model. The record is from RNAcentral.